This 516-nucleotide long non-coding RNA is filed under the name Nicotiana benthamiana. Its description in RNAcentral is "long non-coding RNA (NBEN_LNC003402)". The record is from RNAcentral. Lineage: Eukaryota; Viridiplantae; Streptophyta; Magnoliopsida; Solanales; Solanaceae.
GACCGCAGUACGGGGCAGACAAUUGGAACAGGACUUGAAUCAGAAGGACUUUACUACCUUAACUCACUAAAAUCCUCCAAGGCAUGUCUAGUUGCAGAUCCUCCAGACCUAUUUCACAGAUGUUUAGGACAUCCUAGCUUGUCCGAGCUUCAAAAGAUGGUGCCUAUUACUACCUUAACUCACUAAAAUCCUCCAAAGCAUGUCUAGUUGCAGAUCCUCCAGACCUACUUCACAAACGUUUAGGACAUCCUAGCUUGUCCAAGUUUCAGAAGAUGGUGCCUAGUUUGUCUAGUUUAUCCACAUUAGAGUGUGAGUCAUGUCAGCUCGGGAAACAUACUCGAGCCUCCUUUCGUCGUAGUAUUGAGAGUCAUGCAGAGUCUGUUUUUUCUUUAGUUCACUCUGAUAUAUAGGGUCCUAGUAGAGUCAAUUCAACUUUGAGAUUUUGUUAUUUUGUUAGUUUCAUUGAUGAUCAUUCAAGAUAUACUUGGAUUUUCUUAAUGAAAGAUCAUUGUGAGU